This 76-nucleotide transfer RNA is filed under the name Acidobacteriota bacterium. RNAcentral describes it as "Acidobacteria bacterium tRNA-Val". It matches the Rfam family "tRNA". Rfam says of the family: Transfer RNA (tRNA) molecules are approximately 80 nucleotides in length. Their secondary structure includes four short double-helical elements and three loops (D, anti-codon, and T loops). RNAcentral also lists the same sequence under 1 other name. The record is from RNAcentral. Lineage: Bacteria; Pseudomonadati; Acidobacteriota.
GGGCGGUUAGCUCAGGUGGGAGAGCGUAUCCCUUACAAGGAUGAGGUCGCUGGUUCGAUCCCAGCACCGCCCACCA